Molecule: RNA transcript, 4410 nt
Organism: Pomacea canaliculata
Lineage: Eukaryota; Metazoa; Mollusca; Gastropoda; Architaenioglossa; Ampullariidae
Exons: 6
Source: RefSeq, a predicted model, not a curated record
CUUGAUGUACAUUGUUCUCACCCGACAUGGACAGCCGCCUAUACAGCAACACGUGCACUCAUAGUAUAGUUCAAGUCAAACUAAGUCAUGAAAAACCCAGAUAAACCCUCUUGACACAGGAAGUCCAUGUCUGCAUCUUCCUCUUCCUCUCCCUCACACAAAAUGGCGGGCCUCUGUCCACAUCGCACCACUCUCUUCUUCAUUCUGUUUGUUGUUGUCACCAGCCUCCAGUACCUUCAUGUGAGAGGGUGCACCACCCCGUCACACAGGUAGCAUGCAGGUACCCACGCAAGGACUUGUUCGUACUAACACUCAAGCAAACAGCAAACACCAGCUCUGUCAGAAGUGCAGACAUCACGGACACCUGUAGCGGCGACAUGAUGUUCUCAGCCUGCACUUUUGAUGACACCUGUGUCACGGUCAAAGCCCUCGUCGUGGGUCAAGGUUCUGAAGAAUUUCGUGUGUUUGAGUGUAAAGCUACACUAAAGGUGAACUCUGAGUCAAGAGAGAUACCUGUCGGUCAAAUCAACAUUACUGUUGGAGGACCAUCAACACCCACAUACACCACCACAGGGACUGAUGGUAAGCAGACACUGGACACGUGGUUUGGGGCAACUGGACCCCACUUAACCCUCUGACAGCCGUGGAAUUGUUAUAGUGUUAACAAACCAGACCUUCUAGCCAUUCGUUUCAGGAUGAAAACGCAGACAAUGGAGAAUGAAAUGCCUUCUUCAUUCAAACACCAAAAUCAAUGUCAUUAACAUGCACCACAAAUUAUAAUUAUAAUGACCAAACAUAGUAAUGUUACAAAACGAUACAAAGAGUUUGUAUCACAAGAUUUGGUCAGACUUUUCUUGCUAAAUAUGAAAAAAACUGAAAAUAUAUUGUUUGGAUGAGGCCUACAUUCUGUUACUCUUACAAAAGUCAAGAUUAUUCAGGACGAAAAAAAUCUGACGACUGUCGAAGUGACAUCCAAGCUCUACAUGAACUCCACAUGAACUCCACAUUAACAUCACCACAACAACCACGAGUCUCUAACUUUCUCGUUACUCCAUGUCGGGCUCAAGAAGCAACUCUGUCGCUGUCCUGGCAACGGAGUUGUAUCCCGUGCAGCUGCUGAAGGCUGGGAAGGUGAUGGAGCUGGUGUAUUCUCCCCAGAAUACAUUCUUCUUUCACAGAUUUUCCAAGUCCAACAAAUUCCUCGCUCAGUUUCAUCAGGAGGACUCGCCGCGUUGCCACCCGGGGUAUAGAGAGGUCCAAACGAUGUAGUCAUUGAGGCAAUGGUAUCCUCCCUGUUGUAGACUACCGUCGGCCAUCUUCUUGUCUGUCGUCUCGUGGUGUGGCAGUGAACCACUUGGUUCGUUGUGUGGAUGUCACCUUUUGUCUUGUAGUCCAGCAUCAACGGAGGCUUUUCUCUGCCGUGGUGUUGAUAAGAAUGGUGAGGGAAGCCUCUCAGCAGCAAGUUUGUCUCCCAGCCCAAAGCUAGUGAAGAACUUGUCCCUCGCUACAUCCCUUCCACUGUUUUGUCACCAGAAUCAUGUCCAACACAACUCUUUCUCCCUGGUUGUGUUCUCUUGGUUGAUGAGGUUGUCUUCCCCUAACCGGACAGUUCUAAACAUCCAACGUGGUGGUGUCACAGCAGACCCACAGUUGUACCCCAUGUUUCCCUGGCUUGCUGGCAAUGUCUUGUGAGAAAGGACACCCGCUCCUAAAGACGACUGAUUCUUCAUCAUCAGUCACAUUUUCUGAGAGUUGGUAACAUUCUUUUCUGCCCAAACAUCAAAUAUUUCAGAGACUGGUGGGAGCUUUGCCUCGGGUCACCUUUGACAUCGUUCAUCAACUCCAAGCACUUCCCUCACCUGCACGAGUCUGGCUUUGAGCAUCGCUUGUGGGAAAAAUAGUUUUCUUGGCUUCUUGCUCCACAGCUGUUCUCUUGGCUCACCGAUGAGUCCGGCACUAAAGUGUAAAAGUCAAGAAAUUUGAAAAUGUUGAGAAAACCAAUUCGCGUUUUGUAAAUUGUGAAACUUCGGUUGAAGUCGGUAUGGACCCCAACGGCCGUUAAAGGGUUAAUAAGUCUUUUUUCUUUCUCUAUCUCUCUUUCGUUUCUCUCACUAUUUCUUUUUUCUCAAACGUUGAACUGUGGGGAGACAACUGCUUACAGGACGGCGCCCACCCCCCGCUGCUACGUCUGUGAGUGGCUCACUGUUGACACACAACCUGCUGCAGGCCUGCUAGGCGGUGACGGCCAGAGUUAACACGGAUGUUCUGGUUGGCAAUCGUGUCGAUGUUGAGAUGUGACAAAGUUGCGGACGAUAAUCGAGAGAACAAAACUGACGAGAGAGACGAGGCCAGCGCGCACAAUGGUGGACGGCCUCGUGCCGCUGACAGCAGGGUAAACAGUUUACACACAAUGGUUGACUGGAGGUAAACAGUUUACACACAAUGGUUUACUGGAGGUAUACAGUUUACACACAAUGGUGGACUACAGGUAAACAGUUUACACACAAUGGUGGACUGGAGGUAAACAGUUUACACACAAUGGUGGACUGGAGGUAAACAGUUUACACACAAUGGUGGACUGGAGGUAAACAGUUUACUAACAAUGGUGGACUGGAGGUAAACAGUUUACUAACAAUGGUGGACUGGAGGUAAACAGUUUACACACAAUGGUGGACUGGAGGUAAGCAGUUUACACACAAUGGUGGACUGGAGGUAAACAGUUUACACACAAUGGUUGACAGCAGGGUAAACAGUUUACUCACAACAAUAAAGUUGUUUGACAACAUUGUGAUAAAGUACUCAGUAACUCGAUAGUGAUUAUGAGUUUGUGAGCAUUUGAAUAAUAGUGUGUGUGUGUGUGCGCUCGCGCGUGUGUGUGUGUUCGCGCAUUCACGUGUGUGUGUGUUUCUCUCUGUCCACAUGUUAAUCUAGUGAACGAGUCAGCCAAAGACUUCACAGGAACAUGCGACUCCCGUGAUGCCCCGCGAGCAGCGGUUAUCGUUCUUGUCCUGCUGCUCAUUGUCUUCAUGGUCAUCAGUGCUGUCCUCGUCAUCAAAAUACACAGACGCACCAACACGCCCUGCCCAUGUCACGUGACCAGGCUGUGUGCGGGUGGACUGCCAGUCAGCCUGUAGGACUCGAGAACGACUCCAACACCCAACACCUGGAGAAUUCCACCCCCAGGUACCACAAGUACCGGGGACCGCCACCCGCCAGCCCAGCCCCCCGUGCACCCGGCAAAAGUCACGUGAUGGACUACCAGGACCAACUGGACCUGUCGUCGGCUAACACCUCACAGACUCUAGCAGGUACAACCGAGGAACUGUGCCAGUAUCAGACACCCUGGGGUCAGGGUCAGAAGGUCUUUCCGCCCCAGUAAAUACCAGCCAGUGACAUGUCAGCCUCACCAGCCACCUGUCUCAGAAAGAGACACAAAAGAAACCCUGGAGACACACACUGGCAUUUCAAACUCAACAGAAACCCUGUCUGCGCAUGUGCAUCUCAUCUAAAGAAAAGGGAGGCGGUCCUCUUCUGUGUUUUGACAUCAUGUCCUUCAGAAGGGGGUUGAGUUGCUUCAUGUCAUCUCUUCCCACUUGAGAGGAUGACUGUGACUCUAAGGUUGGAUAUUGUACAUAAUGUUUACACAAACCCUCCUUUAACACACCUGGGUAAUGUGUCACCUAGUGUCACUAAGUUGUCACCUAGUGUCACUAGGUUCUGCCAGAAAGAGUUGUCCUCUCAGACACGUGGCUCACAUGAAGACUAUUUGAAGGCAUGUAUUAGGAUGGUCGAUCCAUUCCCUUCACAAAUCACGGGCUACCCCUAACCUCUCACACCACUCCUAUAAGGGACUAUCUUUACCUUAGUGAUGUCCUCAAGUUUACAGCCACUCAGAGCUUACACCCUGCUGCGACUAACGAGGUCCAUCUGAUGAUCUUAGGGAGCACUCACCUGGUCCUUAUCAAUUGCCAGUCAAGGAGCAAAGGAUAAACAAACAUUUUAUAAUGAAAUGGAUAUUUUUAGUAACCGAAAGCUGCACACAUUGUAGUGUACCAGAGCAUGAGGACGAUGACAGACGAUGUCAACAACAACAGAAGACAAGUUGUGUGCCUGUGAGAAGAGGAUACAUCUAAUGACAGGGAGCAUCUCCUUUGCUUGAGAUGGCGAACCCUGCCGACCCCUCCUUAUCAUCAUCAGGCAGCUUAGUCUGCCAGCCUGAAAGAACGAAGGAAAAGAAAGAGCAAACCCCUUUCUUGGACUGUGUGGAGGAUCUACUUUAUCAUGAGUGAAUGAGUGUAUGAGUGAAUGAGUGAAUUAGUGUGUGAGUGAGUGAGUGAGUGAGUGAGUGAGUGAGUGUGUGAGUGAGUGAGUGCAUGAGUGAAUGAGUGUGUGAGUGAGUGAGUGAAUUAG